GAUCAUGCUCAGGAUAAACGCUGGCGGCGUGCAUAAAACAUGUAAGUCGAACGAGGUGAGGCCGCAAGGCCGAGCCGAGUGGCGGACGGCUGAGUAACGCGUAGGUGACUUGCCCGGAAGUGUGGAAUAACGAUUCGAAAGAAUCGCUAAUACCGCAUAUGGUUGUGCGUAUAGACACGUGCAACCAAAGCCGCAAGGCGCUUCUGGAGAGGCCUGCGUCCGAUUAGCUAGUUGGUGGGGUAACGGCCUACCAAGGCGACGAUCGGUAGCUGAUCUGAGAGGAUGAUCAGCCAGACUGGGACUGAGACACGGCCCAGACUCCUACGGGAGGCAGCAGUUAGGAAUUUUGCACAAUGGGCGAAAGCCUGAAUGCAGCAACGCCGCGUGGAUGAUGAAGGCCUUCGGGUCGUAAAAUCCUUUUCAGAGGGAAGAAACGGACGGUACCUCUGGAAUAAGCGUCGGCUAACUACGUGCCAGCCGCUGC
Molecule: ribosomal RNA, 484 nt
Filed under: uncultured bacterium
Lineage: Bacteria
Description: bacterial SSU rRNA
Rfam family: Bacterial small subunit ribosomal RNA
Source: RNAcentral